Long non-coding RNA from Nymphaea colorata (pocket water lily), 3027 nucleotides. RefSeq lists it as uncharacterized. Lineage: Eukaryota; Viridiplantae; Streptophyta; Magnoliopsida; Nymphaeales; Nymphaeaceae. The transcript is spliced from 3 exons. The record is from RefSeq and is a predicted model, not a curated record.
GAAAAAAACCCUUGAUUUCCUUUGUUAUGUUUCCUUCGUAACUUCGUUAGUAUAUCAAUCUUUUCUUCGUUUCCGUCUUCCCCGUUGCUUGAUUGUGGGAUUGAGGAGAAGUCCUCUCUUCCAGUGCAUCAGCUUCCCAGAAGGAAUAAUGCUGAUUCCUGGCCUUGCCAACACACUGCUCCAUUGGAUGAAGCUCGCCCCGUCUAUUCGAUGGGUCGGCUAGCUGCCAAAGGGAGUCCUUUCCUUUCUCCUUGAAAACAUGACGAUAUGAAAUCACCUCUCUGUAAUGGACUUCUAUCCAUGCUUCCUUAGGUGUGCUCGCCCAUUCAUUAUUGAACCUUUGAUUGAAAGAAUGAGUUGUCAUGCUUGCGAUCUUCCUCCUUUCCCCCCCUUCUGCCACAUAAGUCUUUUGUGUUGUCUGUUCUUGUGGAUUGUUGUUUUUCUCUUUUGUUUGGCACAGCAGCACACCUAUGGUGAAGAGUGGUGCUUCCCUCCUGAAUGCCUUAACGUGUACCCUGUUCAUGGAGUAAAAGCUUCACCAGUGUUAGCAAUAAACAGUAAGCUGGGCCGAUCUCUCACUUAGCAGUCCCUUUUUCUGUCGCCAAGUGAAAGCGUUCAAAGGCAGGUUGCAACAUUUCAGCAUUCCACGAGGUAAAGCUUCUUCAGUGCAAGGGUAAUGCGUUUUUGCCCCGUGAGAAAUAGAAAACCGCGACCUUUAGCUAAUUGGCCAAAGGAGCAGAACCUUUUGAUCAAUUUAUUGAUUGGAUCUUUGAUGCGGUUAAUGAAAUUGUGGGGGCAGACAGACCAAACACUGCUUCAAGGUCUUAGCUACGGGCCAAGAAGUGGUCAAUAGAUUGACCGGAUCCUUGGAGAAACGGUUAGCGAAAGUGUAAGCUCAGACAGACCAGUCACUUCAACAUCGAAUGGAGAGAAUUUGCUGGAAGUUGGCUAUGAUGCACUAGUUGGUGUCGAUUCAUGUGCUUCUUGUAGUUGAUGGUGUCAAUUCAUGUGCUUCUUGUAGUUGAUCAUCGUUGCCAAUGUUGUUGCUGCCUUCACUUGGUUGUUUGAUCUGCUACAUAUUACCUAUAUCCACUGUUUCUUAUAAGCUUCAUCUUGUCUGUGUUCUCUACCACUAGAACAUGCUGUUCUUGAUCUUCAGAGCUCUUUUUUCUGCUGAACAAUCUUUGGAAGUGUAUGUAAUUUUCAUUGUUGUUAUAUGUUACAUGCUUGGGAAUGAGUACUCUUUUCCUUGAGUAAUUAUUAAAGCUUUUAUCUUUUUUGAAGGUAUCUAGAACAUACCUGAUUCCUAUUGUACAUCUAAUUUCAUCUGCAAGAACUUACAAUAUGUGCAAAGUAAGCACAUCCAAGAUGUUUUUUAACUUCGGUACGCUUUAGGCAUGUUUGGUAGCCUAAAUAUUCAGAAAAGGAAAAACUGGAUUUUAGAAUUAUAAAUGUUGUUUUUCUUUUUUGGUCUUUGGAUAAUUGGACAGAAAAUAACUAGAAAAUGGCAUACUCUACGCCUAAGUAGGAUUUCUAGAAAUAAGAAAUUUAUAUGUUUUGGAGAACUUGAAAAGUGGGCAAUGGUCUUUUCCCCCUCUUGUCCAGCAUCGCUCUUCCCUUUCCCUCAUCUUCUCUCUCGCCUCAUGUCUUUUCUUCUUUCAUACCUUGUCUCCUCUAAUCCGUCAGCUCCAGUGAAACUUCCUCUGGCAUUUGGCAACAAUCUUUUCUUCUUUCAUACCUUGUCUCCUCUAAUCCGUCAGCUCCAGUGAAACUUCCUCUGGCAUUUGGCAACAAUAGGUCCUCCCUUCUGGUGAUCAUCUUUUCUUUCCUUGUGUUCAUCAUCUCUCUUCCCUUUUCCUCCAUCUCUCUCACCUCAUUUCCCUUCUUCUUUUCUCCCCCAUCUCUCUCCCUUGAUUGGAUGGCUAUGAUGAAACUUCCUCUACAUUCAGCAACAAGUCCUCUCUCUUCGAGUGCGAGAUACAUCGUAAGGAAGUCCUUUGCCUUCUCAGUCUGAUAUUUUGAUAAAUUGUAGAGUUUGGAUUUCGAAUUAAAUUGGCAUAUCGAGUAAUUGUCCAAAUAUGAUUUUAUGGGGUCUCUGUUUUUGUGUUUUAAGAUGAUUUUUUGAAAUCAUUUGGGGUCUCAUUUGUUAUGAGUGGUUAAGGGAUGUAUAUGGGUCUUUUUUGUUUUGUUUCUUCAAUUCAUGUUCAUGAACACAAUUUAUUGAUCUGGAAAUCCAAAGUUCCCAUUUUCAUUUUAUUUAAAUUCUGAACUUAUGGUGCCAAUGCUAUUUGCUCUCUUUCAGUUUCUCGCAAGCUUGAAAAUCUAAACAUGGAGCUCCCUAUGGGACAUGGCAGCAUUAGUAGGUUCAUUAGAUAAGAUUAUAGCACCUUGAGUGAAUACUGAAGUUCUUCAAAUGUUGUCAUGUGGGCUGCUCAAAAGAAACACAUUUUUAUGUUGCAGCAUCUAUUGGUUCCUGCUGUUACAGGUUGGGGAUGUUGAUAUUGUUCAAUCCUGGUUCACACGUGUUUUCAGCCGGUGGAAGCUGAGAAUUUGCAGCUGCAGUUAUUAGAUCCCGGAUCACGUAGCCUACAAUUGGGGUCUUCGGUGCCUUCUGCCAGAGGCUGGGAACGUUGAUCUGCUGCGAUUAGUAGAUCCUAGUUCUCAGUAGUUGCAUCCUGGUUCACGUGAACUUUCAAACAAUUGAUCCAUUAGCCGAGUAGUUUAUCUGCUUGCAACAGGGGUUGUGCCAGAAAUUUCUGGGGGACACUAGUAAUAAAAUUUUAAAUUUUUAACGGACAUCAACAUAUAAAUCAGAAAAAUUACCGUGUCAAUAUGAAAAUAAGUACUUUUGUGGGCUGAGGACAAUUGCCAGUAAUUCAUUUACAUGUACUCAGGGCCUGUUCCUCUUCUAGCCGUUGGAUGGAGCGUGCAAAAUUUUGUGGGAAGAGAUGGACCUACUACACACAUCCCAUGUGAGUGCUUGCUUUUGAUAUCCAUUUGAAAAUGUACAUGGUUUCAGAGAACAGA